RNAcentral lists this transfer RNA (75 nucleotides) under Haemodracon trachyrhinus. Its description in RNAcentral is "tRNA-Leu". It matches the Rfam family "tRNA". Rfam says of the family: Transfer RNA (tRNA) molecules are approximately 80 nucleotides in length. Their secondary structure includes four short double-helical elements and three loops (D, anti-codon, and T loops). Lineage: Eukaryota; Metazoa; Chordata; Lepidosauria; Squamata; Phyllodactylidae. The record is from RNAcentral.
UUUAGAGUGGCAGAGCCAGGUAAAUUGUACAAGAUCUAAACCCUUGCAUCAGAGGUUCAAAUCCUCUCCCUAAUA